AGCCCAAGGAGUAUACUAUAAAAAUUGGAAUGACACAGAGGAGAUUAAGCAUGCUCCCUUUGCAAGGAAGAUCCUAUAAUUCAUGCAGCAUUCCCAAAUUCU
This 102-nucleotide small nuclear RNA is filed under the name Rhinopithecus bieti (black snub-nosed monkey). Lineage: Eukaryota; Metazoa; Chordata; Mammalia; Primates; Cercopithecidae. The record is from RNAcentral.